GACUCUGAUCAAAACACCCGGAACGUCCCCGACCUCGUCAGAUCUCAAAAGCUAAGCAGGUAGGAGCCUGGAUUACGCUGGGUUGGGCGACCACCGUGCAAAAACGGUGGCGAGAUGUU
This 119-nucleotide ribosomal RNA is filed under the name Petromyzon marinus (sea lamprey). Lineage: Eukaryota; Metazoa; Chordata; Hyperoartia; Petromyzontiformes; Petromyzontidae. The record is from RNAcentral.